This 435-nucleotide ribosomal RNA is filed under the name Clavibacter michiganensis subsp. michiganensis. Its description in RNAcentral is "bacterial SSU rRNA". It matches the Rfam family "Bacterial small subunit ribosomal RNA", at positions 22 to 455 of the family's 1533-position model. Lineage: Bacteria; Bacillati; Actinomycetota; Actinomycetes; Micrococcales; Microbacteriaceae. The record is from RNAcentral.
GCUCAGGACGAACGCUGGCGGCGUGCUUAACACAUGCAAGUCGAACGGUGAUGUCAGAGCUUGCUCUGGCGGAUCAGUGGCGAACGGGUGAGUAACACGUGAGUAACCUGCCCCCGACUCUGGGAUAACUGCUAGAAAUGGUAGCUAAUACCGGAUAUGACGAUUGGCCGCAUGGUCUGGUCGUGGAAAGAAUUUCGGUUGGGGAUGGACUCGCGGCCUAUCAGGUUGUUGGUGAGGUAAUGGCUCACCAAGCCUACGACGGGUAGCCGGCCUGAGAGGGUGACCGGCCACACUGGGACUGAGACACGGCCCAGACUCCUACGGGAGGCAGCAGUGGGGAAUAUUGCACAAUGGGCGAAAGCCUGAUGCAGCAACGCCGCGUGAGGGAUGACGGCCUUCGGGUUGUAAACCUCUUUUAGUAGGGAAGAAGCGAAA